GAGUUUGAUUAUGGCUCAGAUUGAACGCUGGCGGCAGGCUUAACACAUGCAAGUCGAACGGUAGCAGGAAGAAAGCUUGCUUUCUUUGCUGACGAGUGGCGGACGGGUGAGUAAUGCUUGGGAAUCUGGCUUAUGGAGGGGGAUAACUGUGGGAAACUGCAGCUAAUACCGCGUAGUAUCGAGAGAUGAAAGGGUGGGACCUUCGGGCCACCUGCCAUAAGAUGAGCCCAAGUGGGAUUAGGUAGUUGGUGGGGUAAAGGCCUACCAAGCCGACGAUCUCUAGCUGGUCUGAGAGGAUGACCAGCCACACUGGGACUGAGACACGGCCCAGACUCCUACGGGAGGCAGCAGUGGGGAAUAUUGCGCAAUGGGGGGAACCCUGACGCAGCCAUGCCGCGUGAAUGAAGAAGGCCUUCGGGUUGUAAAGUUCUUUCGGUAAUGAGGAAGGGGUAUUAUUGAAUAGAUAAUACCAUGACGUA
This 479-nucleotide ribosomal RNA is filed under the name Pasteurella dagmatis. RNAcentral describes it as "bacterial SSU rRNA". It matches the Rfam family "Bacterial small subunit ribosomal RNA", at positions 9 to 476 of the family's 1533-position model. The record is from RNAcentral. Lineage: Bacteria; Pseudomonadati; Pseudomonadota; Gammaproteobacteria; Pasteurellales; Pasteurellaceae.